This 253-nucleotide ribosomal RNA is filed under the name uncultured bacterium. RNAcentral describes it as "partial 16S ribosomal RNA". It matches the Rfam family "Bacterial small subunit ribosomal RNA", at positions 524 to 776 of the family's 1533-position model. The record is from RNAcentral.
UACGUAGGGGGCUAGCGUUGUCCGGAAUCAUUGGGCGUAAAGAGCGUGUAGGCGGUCCGGUAAGUCCGCUGUGAAAGUCGGGGGCUCAACCCUCGAAUGCCGGUGGAUACUGUCGAGCUCGAGUCCGGAAGAGGCGAGUGGAAUUCCUGGUGUAGCGGUGAAAUGCGCAGAUAUCAGGAGGAACACCAAUGGCGAAGGCAGCUCGCUGGGACGUGACUGACGCUGAGACGCGAAAGCGUGGGGAGCAAACAGG